GAUGAACGCUGGCGGCGUGCUUAACACAUGCAAGUCGAACGGAAAGGCCCAAGCUUGCUUGGGUGCUCGAGUGGCGAACGGGUGAGUAACACGUGGGUGAUCUGCCCUGCACUUUGGGAUAAGCCUGGGAAACUGGGUCUAAUACCGGAUAGGACCAUCGUUUAGUGUCGGUGGUGGAAAGUUUUUCGGUGUGGGAUGAGCUCGCGGCCUAUCAGCUUGUUGGUGGGGUAAUGGCCUACCAAGGCGUCGACGGGUAGCCGGCCUGAGAGGGUGUACGGCCACAUUGGGACUGAGAUACGGCCCAGACUCCUACGGGAGGCAGCAGUGGGGAAUAUUGCACAAUGGGCGCAAGCCUGAUGCAGCGACGCCGCGUGGGGGAUGACGGCCUUCGGGUCGUAAACUCCUUUCGCCAAGGACGAAGCGUUUUGUGACGGUACUUGGAGAAGAAGCACCGGCUAACUACGUG
Molecule: ribosomal RNA, 466 nt
Filed under: uncultured bacterium
Lineage: Bacteria
Description: partial 16S ribosomal RNA
Rfam family: Bacterial small subunit ribosomal RNA
Source: RNAcentral